CCCUUAGAGUUUGAUCAUGGCUCAGAUUGAACGCUGGCGGCAGGCCUAACACAUGCAAGUCGAGCGGAAACGAUCCUAGCUUGCUAGGAGGCGUCGAGCGGCGGACGGGUGAGUAACGCGUGAGAAUCUACCCAUGAGUGGGGGACAACCCGGGGAAACUCGGGCUAAUACCGCAUACGCCCUACGGGGUAAAGCAGGGGACCUUCGGGCCUUGCGCUGAUGGAUGAGCUCGCGUCGGAUUAGCUUGUUGGUGAGGUAAAGGCUCACCAAGGCGACGAUCCGUAGCUGGUCUGAGAGGAUGAUCAGCCACACCGGGACUGAGACACGGCCCGGACUCCUACGGGAGGCAGCAGUGGGGAAUCUUGGACAAUGGGGGCAACCCUGAUCCAGCCAUGCCGCGUGUGUGAAGAAGGCCUUCGGGUUGUAAAGCACUUUCAGCAGGGAGGAAGGCUUACCCCUAAUACGGGUGAGUACUUGACGUUACCUGCAGAAGAAGCACCGGCUAAUUUCGUGCCAGCAGCCGCGGUAAUACGAAAGGUGCAAGCGUUAAUCGGAAUUACUGGGCGUAAAGCGCGCGUAGGCGGUGUGUUAAGUCGGAUGUGAAAGCCCAGGGCUCAACCUUGGAAUUGCAUCCGAUACUGGCACGCUAGAGUGCAGUAGAGGGAGGUGGAAUUUCCGGUGUAGCGGUGAAAUGCGUAGAGAUCGGAAGGAACACCAGUGGCGAAGGCGGCCUCCUGGACUGACACUGACGCUGAGGUGCGAAAGC
RNAcentral lists this ribosomal RNA (766 nucleotides) under uncultured bacterium. RNAcentral describes it as "bacterial SSU rRNA". It matches the Rfam family "Bacterial small subunit ribosomal RNA", at positions 1 to 760 of the family's 1533-position model. The record is from RNAcentral.